CCUACGGGAGGCAGCAGUGGGGAAUAUUGGACAAUGGGGGGAACCCUGAUCCAGCGACGCCGCGUGAGUGAAGAAGUAUUUCGGUAUGUAAAGCUCUAUCAGCAGGGAAGAAAGAAAUGACGGUACCUGACUAAGAAGCCCCGGCUACCUACGUGCCAGCAGCCGAGGUAAUACGUAGGGGGCAAGCGUUAUCCGGAUUUACUGGGUGUAAAGGUAGCGUAGACGGCGAUGCAAGUCUGAAGUGAAAGGCGGGGGCCCAACCUCCGGACUGCUUUGGAAACUGUAUGGCUGGAGUGCAGGAGAGGUAAGUGGAAUGCGUAGUGUAGCGGUGAAAUGCGGAGAUAUUAGGAAGAACACCAGUGGCGAAGGCGGCUUACUGGACUGUAACUGACGUUGAGGCUCGAAAGCGUGGGGAGCGAACAGGAUUAGAUACCCCUGUAGUC
This 443-nucleotide ribosomal RNA is filed under the name uncultured bacterium. RNAcentral describes it as "partial 16S ribosomal RNA". It matches the Rfam family "Bacterial small subunit ribosomal RNA", at positions 338 to 795 of the family's 1533-position model. The record is from RNAcentral.